Long non-coding RNA from Mastomys coucha (southern multimammate mouse), 704 nucleotides. RefSeq lists it as uncharacterized. The record is from RefSeq and is a predicted model, not a curated record. The transcript has 3 exons. Lineage: Eukaryota; Metazoa; Chordata; Mammalia; Rodentia; Muridae.
UGAGGCCAGCAGGAGGGAAAUGGUGAGACCCUGUCAAACAAGAACAGAAUAGGCUUAAAGAUGAAGCUCACUGGCAGAACACUUGCCUAAAAUUCCUGAGGCAGAGAACUCCAUGUUCAGCACCAUAAAAAAUACAAUAAACUAUUCAACGUAAGGGCCAGAGACAGCUUAAAGGGUAACAGUAUUUGCUACUCUUCAGGAGGCUCCAAGUUUGAUUCCAAGCACCCCCAUGGCAUCUCAAACCAUCUGUAAUUCCAAGUCCAGAAAUCUGACACUGUAUUGUGGACUCUGAGAGAUCACUGCAUGCACAUGGGUGCACAGACAUACAGGCAAAUACAGAAGAUAGCAUGGACAUUCUCAAGCCAAAGUAUCCCUGAUUUUCAGAUACACCACACUGGCAGGAUCCAGUUUGGGUAGUCCAACAAUGCGUCAUGCUAGAAAGGCCAAUAAUCCUGUGGUUAAUCCGUCCACAAGGCUGGCUAUUUCAGCUGUCCCAGGUCCCCACUGAAGUCCUAAAGGAUGCCUGGAGAGCCGCUAAUCUUCAUCUGCUGGAAUCCCAAAGAAAUUGACUCUAACAUGGGUGAAGAAAUGCCUCUGAAACAGAACAAGCAAAAGUGAGCGCAAACAGGCAAAGAGCAGUUUCCUUCUUCCAAGCCCUUUUAUCUGGGCCUCGACCACAACCAAAGCGUCUAAGACCGCUAAGG